UCUAUCAUCAACGCAUUGGCUCUUGAUCUCAUUAGAAUUAUAAGUUAAGCUUGCUCACGUGAGAGUAUUACCUGGAUGGGUGACCUCCUUGGAAGUCUCCAUAGGAC
RNAcentral lists this ribosomal RNA (107 nucleotides) under Helianthus annuus (common sunflower). The record is from RNAcentral. Lineage: Eukaryota; Viridiplantae; Streptophyta; Magnoliopsida; Asterales; Asteraceae.